RNAcentral lists this ribosomal RNA (429 nucleotides) under Chloroflexota bacterium. Its description in RNAcentral is "Chloroflexi bacterium partial 16S ribosomal RNA". It matches the Rfam family "Bacterial small subunit ribosomal RNA", at positions 355 to 776 of the family's 1533-position model. Lineage: Bacteria; Bacillati; Chloroflexota. The record is from RNAcentral.
UGGGGAAUAUUGCACAAUGGGCGCAAGCCUGAUGCAGCCAUGCCGCGUGUAUGAAGAAGGCCUUCGGGUUGUAAAGUACUUUCAGCGGGGGGGAAGGGAGUAAAGUUAAUACCUUUGCUCAUUGACGUUACCCGCAGAAGAAGCACCGGCUAACUCCGUGCCAGCAGCCGCGGUAAUACGGAGGGUGCAAGCGUUAAUCGGAAUUACUGGGCGUAAAGCGCACGCAGGCGGUCUGUCAAGUCGGAUGUGAAAUCCCCGGGCUCAACCUGGGAACUGCAUUCGAAACUGGCAGGCUAGAGUCUUGUAGAGGGGGGUAGAAUUCCAGGUGUAGCGGUGAAAUGCGUAGAGAUCUGGAGGAAUACCGGUGGCGAAGGCGGCCCCCUGGACAAAGACUGACGCUCAGGUGCGAAAGCGUGGGGAGCAAACAGG